AGUGGGGAUAGGGGAAUUAAGAGAGGCUCUCUGGGAGUGAAGAAGACAUUGCCCAAGUGUGUGUAUGUGGGCUCAAGGAAGAGUAGCAAUUAAGUGUCUUAGCAAUAGACUUAUGUAUCUUUUUAGUGACUUUCAAGAAACAUCUCAGAGGGUUGCUAAGAAACCUUUUCCUUUUUCUCUCUCUUGGUGGAGAUAUUAUAGGGUAGGUCCAGUGGUGCCUCCAGGGGAUUAUAAUCUGAUGAGAUCAAGCUGGGCGUCAUUAGGAUUGCGUUUGGGGAUUAGGAUAUCUUUUACUGUAAAGGGGGUUUCUAGCAAGAUUCUAAAGAAAUCACAGCUCUACAGCUGGGAAGGGAGAAAGGAAUUAAGUAAAUGUUGUUGACUGUAACUUUUUUUUAAAAGAAUUUAAUUUGUAGUUAUGUGUACACGUCUCUGUCUCUGUGUGUGUGUGUGUGUGUGUGUGUGUGUGUGUGUGUGCGUGCUGACACAUGAAGAAGCUGGAGGAGUCAAAUCUCAUGGAAGCUGAGGUUACAGGCACUUAAGAGCUACCCAACACGGGUGCUGUAAACUGAACUCUGGUCCUCUUCAAGAGCAGUAUGAAGUCUUAACCGCUUAAAAGCUGGGGUUACAGGCACUUAAGAGCUACCCAACAGGGGUGCUGUAAACUGAACUCUGGUCCUCUUCAAGAGCAGUAUGAAGUCUUAACCACUGGGCUGCCCCACCAGCCUCACUUUCUUUUUAUCUGAGCUAGGGUCUCCCUACGCAGUUCUGGUUCAUCUGGAACUCAUGUAGACCACAUUGCCUCUGCCUCCUGAGUGCCAUUGUGCUGGGAUUCUUUUUUAUUUUUUUUAAUUUUUUUAAAGAUUUAUUUUUUAGAUAUAAGUACACUGUAGCUGUCUUCAGACACACCAGAAGAGGGCAUCAAAUCUCAUUACAGGUGGUUGUGAGCUACCAUGUGGUUGCUGGGAUUUGAACUCAGAACCUCUGGAAGAGCAGUCAGUGCUCUUAACCACUGAGCCAUAUCUGCUAUAAAUCCCCAAGUUUCUCCCAGGCUCCUUCCCUCUUCCACGGACCCCCGUUUUUCUCCUUCUAUUCUGUCCAGUAUUGACACCAACUUUAAGUUACCAGCCUCCAGAAACCUGAGAAUUGAUCCACCUUUAAAGUGCCCAGUCUUGCAGCUGAGAGAUGGCUCAGAGCUAAACAACACGUACUACUCUAGCUGGCACCAGCCACGGCAGGCAGGGCAGUCCUGUGUAACUACAAUGCCAAAGGGAUCCAAGGUCUCUGGCCUCAUGCUGAACGAAAAAAGAAAAACAGGAAGGACACGACUGCUCCCAGUGCAUUUGACGCAGUUCCUACUCUGGCCAGCAGAUGGAAGCACAACCCACUGUUCUGAGUUAGGAUUGCCGUUUCUGGAGGUUGGAGCAAAGAGAAGCAGUGCCCCUCAGGUCUGAGCUUCACCUCGCCGCCCCCUCCCCCGCCCCCAAUCCCCAACCUGCAUUUUCGUGUGUGUGUGUGUGUGUGUGUGUGUGUGUGUGUGUGUGUGUGUGUGUGUGUGUGUGUGUGUGUGUGUGGUGUGUGUGUGUGUGUACUUGUGUGUGUGUCUGAGUGUAUGUGUUUGUGGUGUGUCAGAGAGAGAGAGAGAGAGAGAGAGAGAGAGAGAGAGAGAGAGAGAGAGAGAGAGAGAGAGAGAGAUUAAUA
Non-coding RNA from Rattus norvegicus (Norway rat), 1698 nucleotides. NCBI's taxonomy places the organism in Eukaryota, Metazoa, Chordata, Mammalia, Rodentia, Muridae. The record is from RefSeq and is a predicted model, not a curated record.